GGCUCUUUGCUUACACAAAUAUAGGGAGUCGAGCCUGCCCAGUGAAUUUUUAAACGGCCGCGGUACUCUGACCGUGCAAAGGUAGCAUAAUCAUUUGCCUUAUAAUUGAAGGCUAGUAUGAAUGGUUUGACGAAAACAACACUGUCUCCUUUUUAUUUUCAAGAACUUAACUUUUAGGUGAAGAGGCCUAAAUUUUAUUGAAGGACAAGAAGACCCUAUCGAGCUUAAAAGACAUUAUAGAAGUUUAUAUAUUUUUAAAUAAAUUUUCUAUCAAGCUUUUUAGUUGGGGCGACUAAGGAACAAAAAAAGCUUCUUGCUGAUAAUAAACAGUCAUGUUUAGAUCCGAUAGUAGUCGAUCAAAGAAAUUAGUUACCGUAGGGAUAACAGCAUAAUCUCUCUUGAGAGACCUAAUCGAAAGAGGGGGUUGUGACCUCGAUGUUGGACUAGAAUAUCCUAAAGAUGCAGAAGUCUUUAAGGGUCGGUCUGUUCGACCGUUAAAAUUCU
RNAcentral lists this ribosomal RNA (504 nucleotides) under Juga sp. 1 EES-2019. RNAcentral's name for it is "partial large subunit ribosomal RNA". It matches the Rfam family "Bacterial large subunit ribosomal RNA", at positions 1817 to 2597 of the family's 2925-position model. Lineage: Eukaryota; Metazoa; Mollusca; Gastropoda; Semisulcospiridae. The record is from RNAcentral.